UUCCUUUAGAAAAUAUUUAAAGGUAGUGCCUGCUCAGUGUAUUUAAUAAAUAGCUGCGGUAUCCUAACUGCACUAAGGUAGCAUAAUUAAUUGUCUUUUAAAUGGUGACUUGUUUGAAUGGUUUUAUGAGAAAAAGAUUUUCUUAAACUUUUAUAGAAUUUAUAUUUUGCGGUCAAAAUACCCUAGUAUAAAAGAAAGACGAGAAGACCCUGUUGAGUUUAACAAGAUAUUUGUUAAAAUGGGAUAUUUAGUAUCUUUUUGAUACUUUUUAGAUCCUGAACUUUUUAGUUUGGAAAAAGGAUAAAAUUACCACAGGGAUAACAGGACUAUAUUUACUAAGAGUUCUUAUUGAAGUAAAUGUUUGUUACCUCGAUGUUGAAUCGUAGUUUCUCAUUGGUGCAGCCGCUAAAUGAGUAGGUCUGUUCGACCUUUAAA
Molecule: ribosomal RNA, 435 nt
Filed under: Limnostylochus sp. SR
Lineage: Eukaryota; Metazoa; Platyhelminthes; Polycladida; Limnostylochidae
Description: partial large subunit ribosomal RNA
Rfam family: Bacterial large subunit ribosomal RNA
Source: RNAcentral